Molecule: long non-coding RNA, 764 nt
Organism: Mya arenaria
Lineage: Eukaryota; Metazoa; Mollusca; Bivalvia; Myida; Myidae
Exons: 4
Source: RefSeq, a predicted model, not a curated record
GUUGAAGUUUGUUCUAUUCCUAUAGUUGACAUCAGCCAUCAAUAUAUCCUGUAAGGAUAGAAGAAUCUUGAGUGAAUGUGGAGGCCGGUCUGUCACCAGAGGAACACACAGUGCAAUAUGCCAAAAAGUGCGCGCUGAAAAGAAAGCAUUGCCAAGACAGGUCCCAGCUGCCAUCAACAAAGAGAAGGCGUCUGUUUUUGAAGCAAGAUCGAUGUGUAACACAGGCAGCUCAUGAAGCACUCGAAGGUGCAUCAUAUCAGUCAGGCAUUGGACACGAGGACCAUGUUGACAUGGAAAAGCUGCCCAAUCCUGUUCCACGGGGAGUGUUUAAUCCAGUGACAGUGCCAUCAGGGUCACCCUCCUAUGUCAUCUUUGACCUAGAAACAACUGAUCUCAUACGUGGGGGACAAAUGCCUCACAUCACUCAACUGGCAGCCAUUGAACUGUCCUCUGGCCAAACCUUCAACUGCUACAUCCGCCCGUAGAUUCCCAACUCGGACAAUGUACAGCAGGUGACAGGCACAACCAUGGUCACUGACAGGGAAAUGAUGGUGGAUGGUAGACCUGUGACCCCAAGUUCAUGGAAAUCAGCCUCCAUCAACUUCCUUAACUGGCUCAAGAAGCAUGAAAACGCAUUUCUUGUUGCUAACAAUGAGAGGCGUUUUGAUUUUCCAGUCAUAAUUUCUGCCUAUACUAAUGUUCAUCAGUGUGAUUGUUUGCUGGAACAUACACAAGGAAUGCUUGAUUCAUUGCCCUUAUUCAGG